UGUCUUCGUAGAUGUCUUCGUAGCACUAAGUUCUAUAUUCAUGUGUAGCUAGAUUCUAUUCUUAUCAUACUUUAGAGUGGAGUUCGCCCCUGUGCUAAUGUGUGCUUACUUUCCGGGGUGCCCACCUUCUAUUCCUUAGAUCCAAAGUGAGGGAAUCUGCUUUCUUGCAAUUAAGUCCAGUACAAAUGUGACGUCUAAGGCAGCCUAAGCUUGUUUACUUGAAGUUCCUUCCCGCAUGAAGACUGGCAAGAAAGGUGGGAGAAAACAAACGAGUGAUAGGAAAGCCUUCUAUAGGAUUUGGAAUGCGAGAAGCCCGCCCACUUACUCCAAUUUACCUCAUGAGAGGCCAGCUUCUUGGGACUAGUAGGUGUCAAAAGGGUACUUCCUUUCUAUCUACAGGUGAGCGCACGUUAGAUUAACGCUUCGAUAUAGGCAAUGAAUGGCUUAGUGGGUAGGCUAUGAAAGUGAAUGAAUUCAAGACAAAGCAAAUCCUGUACUCAUCCAACGAAUGAAUCCAAGCACACAGGCAAGGCAAAGCAAAUCCUUUACUAAUCCCCAAUGAAUGAAUCCAAGCACAGGCAAAUUGGUAUGGGUCGGGACAAUCUGUUGACGGGUAUAUAAAGGUUGGGCUUCUUUCUCGUCAUAACACCCAUGGUUAACUAAGAUUCAAUAUAGCUCAUCCAUAAUUGAUACUCUCCAACUGGACUCUUAAGGAAUUUGGAUAUUAUCUUCUGAAGUAUUGUACAUAUAUUGGAAGCUUCAGUAUUGUACUGUACAUAUAUUUGAAGUAAUGUUAUGCUCUUUUAUAAUGUCAUAGCUAGAUUUUCAAAGAAGUUGGGUUACUUUAAAUCAAUUAGAGAAUCCAUUGCUCAUAUGAAUACUUGUAUUUCACUAGAUUCUUCUUUUGCUAAGUCAUAUAAAUAUAUCCUUACUUGAUUAAAAGGAGUGUGUUUAUUGACUUUAUUCUUAUAGAAUCUGUGUACUUAAGAGUUUGAUUACUUUCUUUCCUGCGCACUUAAGAGUUUGAUUACUUUCCUUUGAUAAUGUGUGCAGUUUAGAGUGUUGCUACUUUAGAUAAUAUCAUGUGUGCGUGUGUGACUAAUCUGAUUUGAAUAGAAUCUUAGCCUAAUAUACAUAGGGUUAACAACCUCCUUACUCUCAUAGGGUGGUAAACAACCUCCUUACUACUAAUCACAAUUUCUUAUUACUAUUAAGUUCCAAUACAUUCUCAAAUAGAUUAACAAUACAGCAACACUUACAAUAUCACAUUUAUUGACUAGCAUAGCAGCAUUGCUUCAGUAACCCAACUCUAACCUCACAGCUUGACUUCUGCAACAACUAAACAAGCAGAGGGUGACAAGCAACGGCGCGUCAGUGAGUUUUGGCAUUAAUCCGCUCGCCGACGACUACGAAGAAAGGACUUGCUUUGAAGCGAGGUGCUCGAUAAUCAUAAGUUCCAGUUUCAUCAUAGAAAGAAGUUGUACGAUAUUGUUAUUGUCUCCAGGAAAAUAUGCUGGAUCAGGAGAAGUUCCCGUUUUCGUGGCGUUGGUGUUGGGCAUGGAUACAGGUAUACUAUUCUACAGUUAUAUACCUUAGCUCGACUUAAAGAUAAGAUUCCUUGGGGGUGGGGGUCGACUCUUAAGGUGGUGCAAUAAAUACAUAACCAGUUAUAGAAGCAAGUAAAUGGACUUUCCCCUGCUAGAAGCAAGUAAAUGGACUUUCCCCUUCCGGUGGAAUUUCCACUCUAAACGACAACUCACCUACGCACACAGCAUCUUAUCUCUACAACUUUCCUACGCGAGAGUUCAUCAUCAGAAAGGAAUGGACAAUCAGAAGAAUCUCGUUGUGCUUGUACAUAACUCGCAAGAAUUCGACCAUUGAAAUGUAGGUGCUCGUGCGAUAGGGGCCCAUGCCUCUCUAAUUGAUGAGCAACUAUUAUUUCGAUCUUGAGGGAAUCUGUUAUUUCGAUAUAACCCCCAUCGCUAAGCGCUAAACCAUUUUCGAGAAGUGCCCCCGCUCUCUGAUGCAUCUCUGGGCUACUCAUUGCUCGUAAUUGAGAGAUCUCAGAAUUGAGUUGAGUAGUGAGGCUCUCAGGGAAGAGGUGAAGCUUACCGUGCUCCUCAUUAUAUUGGAGAGAAAUGAAUUUCGCAUCAUUCCAUGAAACAUCCUUUUGCUGUAAACGACGAUUGAUACAGCCAAAAAGAGUAGAUAUCAACCGCUCCGCCCUUAGCAAAGGCAACCGACUCUGAAAGUCCAAACGAAAGAAUAUAUCCUGAAGAGGGCUACUCUCUCUUAAACUACGGACAAGCUUGUUUGUUGUUCCUACGAUAGGGACGUUUUUUCCCUUCGUAAAAGCACGACCAUCCUUCGUAUCUAACUUGCAUUCCUCGCCAUUUAGGACAUGCAAGAGAGUGUUAUUUGCAGAAGCCGUCAUGGAUUGACCAAAACCGGAGCUCAUAUUAUCUUCCACUAUAUGAAUUUCAUCAAAAAGCCAAAGAUCAUAAUCAUCAUGCGCACCUGUAUAAUCAUUCGUGGUGGCAUGGUAAAUAUGUAAAACCUCGUUCAGAAGCUGUAAAACGAGCGUCUUUUGAGUAUUGGGAAGGCCAUAAAGCAGCAGCUGCUUGGUACCUAUGGGUCUAUUGAAGAUCAGAUUGACAGCUAUCCAAUCUAAAAAGACAUAUUUCUCUUUUAAGUAUUGCAUUGAAUACUCUUCUGGCCAAUUCGCAGCAGACAAGUAGCUUACUAACCUAGCAUAUAAAGUGAGUUCUCUCUUUUGAGAAUACUUGACCAGAUACUCUUGGGGCAAGCCUUUUGUCUUUGGAUGAGUCCCCAUUCCGCUCUGUAAGUUGCCAGGAGAAGAAGAGACUACUGGUGUAGCUAUGUUCAUAAGGGAAGAAUAUACUCUAUGCGGACUUCAGGUCAUACAUAGGGAAUAGCUGGUUUCAGUCUAAAAGUAAGUGAGUGAAGCCUGCCACUACCUGGGUGAAGUCUGGUCGGAUCUAGUUGAAGUCUUGUUGUUGUUAUAUGUAGUUAUCCUUGUUAGCACAUGUUGGUGUCUCGUUGCUAGGUGUUUCAGUCUUAGUCCUGUAGUUGCUAGUUUGAUUCUGGUUGGAGUGCCCCCGUUGCUUGGCCCUCGCUCUGGUCCCUAGUUAAGUCUGUUAGGCAUUGGGUUCAAUCCUAUAGGCCGUAGUCGCAUGCUAACAAUCAAAUACAUAGAAUCCGGGUGUCGAGUUCAAUUAACUAAAGAGUCAGGCUUGCAAUUCCAGAGUAAGGCUUGCUAUCGGUAGUUGGAUUGCUACUUUCUAGUUUCAUCCAAUAUGGUAGUAGUUCUUCUUAGAAGUUAAGUAGUUACAGCUUGAAAGCAAGUAAGUAAAGAUCCGAAUCCAUAGUCAAAGCAUGAGUUCCGGGUUAAAGUCUUAGAGGGAGUAGUUGACUUCCGAGUCCCUAGUUGUAGGCUUAUUUGUAGUGGUUCAAUUCCCAUUAUUAGUUGGUUAAGUCCUAGUUCCGAGCUGAGUUCUUGUCAGUAACAGUUCCAUUCCCCUUUUGAGUCAAAUUGUUAGAUGCGCUGCACCAUACCAGUAUCUUCUAUUACUUGUUUCUUCUUUUAAGUCAGCAGUAACAGACUAACCUGCAGUAACAGGAGACUACUAUUUCGUAAAGUCAUACUUGAUAGAUGGGGGAAGGACAGCGAAUGAAGGGCAGUGUUUGGAUUCUCUGUUGCUUGUUUUAGCAUUAGAGACACUAGCUCAAUUCCCAUAGUUGUAACCCCAUAGCUGGUUUUAGUAUGAGAGAUAGGGGCUCAGCUCUCUUAUUCUUAUUGGUUAAAGGAGAUCCGGAUCAAUAGAGAAAGAAUGAAAUGAAUCCAAAAGUGAGGUUGUUACGCCGGUGAGUAAGAUUGACUAUCUGCUCAGUGACUCUGAUUCAUAUUGGUUGGAUUCCCGGCUUGUCGCUAUAUAUCCUUGUUAGUUAGGGCAGUGUUCGAGUUCGUAGUUAAGUCCUUUAAAGCAGUGGUGAAAGCCCUAGCUCUUAGGUUCCACUUUAUAUUCCUUGUUUCUCUUGUGGAUUCUUUCCAUUAGUAGCUCCAUUCCCUAUAUUCUAUAUUGAUAUUGACUGUUGCUUGCCAGUGUUUGACUCGCUUAAAUCCCUAGGGCAGUGACCCAAUCUCUAGUGUUCUUGUUUUUGGACUGCCACCCAAAAGAGUGUAGCGGCCCUAUCCGCGCAACGCGUGUAAAAAGGCAUUUUGAUAACAAUUCCUUUGUUCGUUCAAGGGGUUGGUUUUGGCCAGAACAGGACUACUACGGGUUGGUUGAAAGGAACUGUAGGCUGAGGCUCCUCUCCUCUCCUAUAGGUCGGCAAGAGAAUAAGUGUCGUCUCUUUCAAAGGGUUUGUAGUAGUAUCUUGGCGUGCAUUAAGAGACUUGGUCUAAGAAAUCAGACAGAACCCGAAACUUCUCCAUACUUGUCCUAGUGCUUCCCAUAAUGUAACUAGUAGCAAACAGACUAAGCAAACUCAUUAUAAGAAAGAAAACUAGAAAUACUGGAUAUGAGUACUGCUUCUCCCACCUUAACUACUAAUAUCAGAUUGAACCCAGUGCUUCUCCGGCUGUAACUACUUCCUGCUAGCCCGCCCCCUUACUGCCAUUAAUUCUAUAUUUCACUAAAGGGCUGCCGCUACGUAAUCUAAGCCCACUUUGCUUUAUCUUAUUCUCCAGCUCCCCGAUGCUUUAGUCUGCUUGUCUGACGCUCAUAACUCUGCUUGCUGCUUCUGUUGUUGCGCUAACGGAAGUCCUCAAUUCAUAGAUGAGUCAACACCUCUCCUUUGCCCGGAAAGUCAAUAAGAGAAUUGCAAGUUCUAGUCCAUCUUAUAAAGAAUACGGUAUAAAGAAUACGGUGUCACCAAGGAGAUAUAAAGAAAGUAGGUGACCAAGGAGAUCAGAAGCCCCCCUUAUUAAGGCUAUACAUUAGUGGUCGACCAGAGAAGACAGAGAAUCAGCAGGGUGCUUGAAGUCUCCAAUCUCACUCAAUCUGCCUCCAUAGCUUUCUAAAGUCAUCUUUUACGUUCUUUCUUCCUUAUAUCUGAUAGGUUUCUAUCAUUUGCCUAUCUUAUGGGUUUCUAUCACCUAUGAUCGGUAGAAUAUACACUUUUCACAGAUGAAUCAGCCAUUAACCCUUCCUAAAGAAACACCAAAUACGGAUUGAAGACUACUUGAUCGUGGAAAUACAUACUGCGAAUGUGCGCUAUCGAAGAAGCGAGAACACACUCGUGUCAUCUCUGGAAGUAAGCAGUCCAUAACAUGCUAAUUCCUUUGAUCUUGGAGCAACACGGCCAAAACACAUAUCAAAUAUAGAGUUCAGUCGCUUGGAGAAUAACCCCAGAAAGGCAUAGCUAGAAAGGCAUAGCGUCGAGGCGGCGUAUACAUGGUUUCGUUUUCAACCCUUUCGGUUUUGUUUGGGAGGGUAAUAAGGAUAUGCAUAAAAUCCCGAGAGGUUUGCAAAAGUAUAUCUUGAAUGUCAAAAGGGGCCUUUACACUAAACCUUAUCCAGAGAAAAGCAGAAAUAUAGAUGGGGUUAGGAAAGCGAAACUCAAGAGCUAGCAAAUAUCAAUCCAAUCAAGUAUAAAUAACACAAGUAUAAAUCAAAUAAAGAAGGACCCGCCGCUUCAAAAGGUUUGAUAUGCUACAGUUUACUAAUAGGAUUCUAAAAGGUCUCCAUCAGACAGAUCAAUAAACAAUCAAUACUAUGAAAAUCGUUGUCGAGCCUUGAUUAAAGGAAAAAACGGUUAUAGAAUCAUAUCCAACAUUCAUGAGAAAUGGAUUUGAAAAGGGUCCCCUACUUCUUUAUUGGAAAAAGAGAGGAGAUAGAGUUGAAGCCCUUUAAGCAUCUUUACUUAACGCAGUUCUGAUGAACAUCUGUAUAUGGGUUCGAUACACAAUUGAGCCCGAGCUGUAGGAAUUGAGAGCACUAGUGCUUUACUGCUUGGGUUUGGGGGGCAAGACUCCUUAUUACUCUUUUCACAAAGAAGAAUUUGGAAUAGCUGUAAGUUAUGUAGGAGCAGUAAGUUAUGUAGGAGCAGUGCCGGUACCUUCUCUUUCUUUAAAAGCUGUGUCCUUCCCCUUUUUCUUUAUGCGAGCUAUCUACUAAAAUGAUUGAUGUUUACAUUAGGAGGGAGAGAUCUGAAUAAAGGAAAUAGGCCCUAUUGAAUAGCUAUUGGCGCUCAAAUGAAUCUGGUAAGGUAAGACCGCCCCAUAAUUAACAAGAAAGUGUGUUUCUUUCAUAAUGAACAAUGAAUAAAAUAACCUAUAUGCUGCUUUUGUCUAGCAUUGUUGACCAAUGUGUGUUACCUACAAAAGAAGAUGAGAGAACGGGCGGACGAACAAAGGAAUUGUUAUAACACAAAGAAAGGAAGAUAGUAAGGGUAGCCUUUAGAUCAGUAGCUAGGGAACCAAGGCAAAGAGGUGUAGACGGGGCAACAGCCUUAGCUAAGGUCGCGUAAGAGCGAAAGAAGCAAUUAGAAGAGAGUAGAUAGAUACAUAACGGUAUUGAUAUAAGUAAAUAGAUAUAGUGUGAGGCUAAGGUAAAGCAAUGCAAGGUUUGGUGUCGGUAGGGGGUCUUUAAAGCAGUACUCAUAUCCAGUAUUCCUAUUUCGAUUCUGGUUAUUACUAGGCCAGGGUUCUUUCCUGUGCUACUUAGUUAAAGCCUUUGACUCAUAAGUGUUAUUCCUGGGGUUUAGAUCGGUUAUGAGAAGCAGCGGUAUCAAUCAGUAUUGGUAUAAUCAGUAUUAGAUUAGUCUAAUAAGAACAAGUAUGAGUUUUGAGUAGCAGUAUCGGUAGUGAGAUAAAAGUAGUCAACUCGGAUUGAAGUAAGUAGUCGCAUACUAAAACACGGGAUACGGAAUGCAAGUGGGGUGAAUAAGAGAAGAGCUUGAUAUAUAAAGGCCGCGGCAGGCUUUAAGCAAGUAGUGAUAGACUGCAAACACAGAGUUAUGGACUGAAUGUGGGUAAAAGGAGUCUCAGGCUGAGCCAACAUAACUAAUAAGACUCGGGUAAGAGCAUAGGCAGUUUGCUAGUUUCGAGUUCAAUUCCAAAAGCUGGGUUUUUAUACAAAAGUGGAAUAACUAUUGUCUUUUUUGCUCUAAUUACCCUAGGAAAAGACUCAUCAAUCUUGUAGAAAAUAACAUGAAAUACCAUUAAUAUAUGGUAUGAUAAUGAAUAAACCACACGCACGGAACUAAUGGCAGAGCCAAGCUCACAAGCGGGGAUCCAAGUAAGCUGCGGUAGGGCUAAGCCUAACACAAACAAGGCAAAAAGUAAGGAAAGAAAGGAUCCGUUUCCGGGGUACUAGAAUAAAAGCAAGUAUAUAGCUAGGAUCCGAUGCAGUGAUUAAAGAAAGAAAAGCACGGUAUGUUAAUACUACAGAUAACGUUAGGGCGGUAGUGUUGUUCUCACCCUGCUUAGUAAUCCUUAUUGUUGGUGUUCGUGCCACGCCCUGCUUCAUAGCUUCCCGUAGUUAGAGUAUGACUCUUCCCUACCUAAUUCUGGUAUUCCUUCCUUUUGGUUUGACCUUCCUGGCUGCCGGUCUUACUUUCCUUUAUUUCAAGAAAAAACAAGUGCCUUUCAUUCUUGACUUGGUGCUUUACCCUGCGACUACUUACUGAAAAGCUUUACUUCUUUCCCCCCCGGCUUGAAAACGGAGUUUACUUGCUUUCAUUCCGUAGCUACUGAUUUAGGCGGGGACCAAGUAAUUCCACUGCAGUAUCUAAGAGUGAAGGUGCCAAUCCACAGAAUUGAUUCCGGGUAGGAGCCUACAGGAUACCGGGCAUAGAUCUAAGGCAUUGAGACGCAUAGAAAGACUUGAGCUAGCGCCAGCAAUACCUUUCACUCAUAGCUAGGAAUGACACUGCCAACUAUCAAACAAAAACCAUCGAUACCCAAGCCAAGUCUUACUUGUUCAUUUGAUCGGGAAAUAUAUACCUUUCCUUCCUAAAUCGAGGAUCGGCCCAGACUCUACUCUGUUGAAAGAUCAUCCGCUGGAUCGGGAGGGAAAGUUGUUUACAGUUCCAGUUAAGAACAAGCUUAGGCGCUAAGAAAAGAGAUUGGUGCUAUGCUAAAGAGAAGAGAGGUUCUCGAUUGGCUUUUCCUUGUAUACGAGUUCGGGUGAUAGCCUUCUUCAGCGGUAAGUAAAUAAGUGUCAUCUCCAAUAUAAGCUCUAGGUGGACUAAGUCCUAAAUGUGAGGGUGCAGGCGAAAGACUAAGUGCAAAAGUUCCAUUGGAUUUCUGCGCUUAACGGGUCAGUGCAUCAGUUAGCUCUUAAAUUCCUUCCUUCUUAUGAACGAACAUCAUAUUGAUUUUGGACUGUUUGACAAAAGGCCCAACUCCACUAUUGGUUUUACGUCGGUAGAGAGCAAAGAGAGAUGUUCGGCAAAAGGGGAUAGAGUUUUGUAUUGAAGAAAAGCAAGUCAUUAUUUAUAAGCAAGUCAUUAUUGGAGGCUAAGUGAGUGCGCUAGGAGAUUAGGCUUCAAGUAGAGUUAUUGUUGCUGGCCACAAGAGAAAGAAUCCAUUUUGUACAUCGCGGGUAGCUUUGCCAAGAUAACAAUACGAUCUCGCCCAAGGUGCCUUACGUGAGUUUCAAUUUCAAUAGACGACCAACUAAAGUAGUAUAACCCAUGUGUGUAGUUAAGGGGAAGGGGAGUUUCAUCAGUAUUAGCUUACAGAGGAGAGGUUGAGUAGCCAGCUGCUUGGUGUUUACUGACUUGGCGGGUAGGAGUCGUUUCCUUCAUUCUUGGCAGGUAGUUGUGGUUUCAUUCCAAUACAAGGGGUUGAGUUUUGAAUCUAUCUAUAUGUAGGGAAUUGAGCAGCUAACUAAAUGAGGCUGAAACUGUUGCUUCUUAUACUUGAACUCAUGCCCUCGCCCCUAGCUUACAAGCCCCUUACUUGUUAAUUGAAAACGGACCUUACUGUAGUCAAGGCUGCCAUAUACCUCCGAUAUACCUGAACUCGGAACUAAGGUUGUCCACAACAACCAUACGGAUGACUUUGACUAUUGGAUAGUCUUCUGUAACUGCUGUGGCCCUUCCUCGAUGCCUUCCCCCCGGUUAAGCCUACAUUGCUUGUCUUUGAAACGGAGAAAUCCCACUCAAAACUAGUGCUCAUUACUAGAGAGGUUAAUCCAACUCCUAAGUAGAGGCAUGCUACUACUUAAUUACAUCUGUAUCUCUUGUUUCCAACUGAACUGACCACAGCUUCAUUCCGAUACUUCUUACUUGAGUUCUGAAAUAGCUUAUUCCGUCUUUUGGACAGGGAGCUCUAAGACUAAUAGCUAGGGGUAUGGGACUAAUCGGAAUACUUGGAAGGUACCUACUUGUACAGAAACAGAGUCAACUCCACUUUAAGAUGACCCCGUUUAUUGCUUACUUGAUAACUGCUGAUUCCUCUAAAUAACUUGUUACUGCUGGCUUUCAUUAAAGAAUGGUUACUGCCUAUGGCUUUCAUCUUUGCUUUGCGUCCUUUGUUCGUUCGUCUCCACGACUAUCCUGUUCCAAAAACGAUCCUCUUACUAAAACUAUCCUCCACCCAGCUUUCCAGGCAAGGCAAUUCUCUACGACUUAACUGUCAUGUCAACCGUACUCCAACCUGCGAGCGUAAGGCGCAAGCCAAAACCGAAGCACCUUUACCGAUAAUGCCGCGCUACUGUUCAACGCCAGUACUCUCUUUUUCCACAAAAUCACUCAUGAACUUGAAGAACCAAACCAACACAAUUACCUCUUUCAGAGACAACACUAGUACUAACCUCUUCUCUUAUCUCCAACUGACCAAUGCUUAAUUAGUUACGGUUCAUUACUUGUACUCUCUUGGCCUUCCCCGAUGUUCACAUUUGGAUUACUUACGGGGCGGGGCCGGACUUGAUCCAAGCAGAAGAGAUUCAAGAAGUAGUGACAUGACCGCCCGUACCUGUUAAUGCUCCUGAGCCGAUAGAUUCAAAUGAUAGGGUUAGACUUAUACUGUUAUUUAACACGAACCGCCAGAGGACCUUAUGCAACCAGACACCAGCCAGGUAAGGAGCCGUCGAAGGGCAAUAUAUGGAUUAAGCUCCUCCGGGAUCAGGGCAUCCAAUCACAGGCUUCAGGCCCGAAACCCGAAGAAAGAACUCUGAGUGAACAAUACAGAAUUGCUAUAUUGUGGAAUUUAUUAGUCUGGAGCCUUACACCGGAAACUUCCAAAUCUCUGACUCUUGGCUGGCCUUCCGAAAGUGACUGCCCGGCUAGGCGGCUUACUACUUAUACUUAAGGACUUAUCCCUUAUAUCUUAGCUAAGUUAAGACUACCAGCUUCUUUUCGGCAUCAACUCACUCCAAGGGAACAAGAGCCAUUAUAGCUUAUCCCUCAGGUGACUAAACUGGGUAACUUAUCUCACUUAGGCUUUCAGCACCUUACUACAACAGCUGAAAUAGCUUUUAUUCAUUCCUUCAACCCACAUGGUUUAAUUGACAUUGACCUCCUUUUUGACUAUCAUCCCACAUCUAGAGUUCGCAAUUAGUCGAAGCUCCGCCUGCCUUCUAUCUAGGUUCCGCUCUUACGUCCAAGCUUAUAAACGAUUGGCUUCACUUUGGCAGCUCGUGGUGGAGUACUAAAGAUUCGCUCUAUUAUUAUAGUGCGCCUCCUGUUCCUGAGGGAGUGAUCGGGAUGUCUUAGGUUGCCGGGUGCCUAAUAGGACUAUGUUGCUUCCUCUUACUUGUAAUCAUACCAAUUAGUGGAGCGGGGGGAGUGGGAAAAAAAGGACAUAGGAGUUCUAGAAGUGAAAGAGAGUUGAGACAGAUACGAAUCCAAGCCAACGAGGAAAGGUACGAACACGAGUUAGAGAGCCUGUUGACGGUGACUUUAAUGACUAUUCCGGCUAUAGUAGAGAUUGAUUUCUUUCUGUCUUUGCUGGUUGUUUGUGUUUAAUAGAUAUAAUCCACUCUACCAAUUCUUAUGCUUUUGCACUGGCUGGGGACUACUUGUUGGCGGGGUUGUCUCCUUGUCUAUACGUAGCUUGGCCCUCUCCCGUUUCAUUCUUUUCAUACUAAUACUACGUUCACUCCUUUAUUUCCUUAUUCGUAGCUGAGAGUGCAAUUCCCAGUUGUGAGUUAUCAGAUGAAGGGCUGCGUUGUCAGUCCUAGUUAAAGCCUAGUUCUGAGUUCCCGGGCUAGAAGCAUUAAGAAAAGUCUUUGUUCCGAGUUGAGUCCUGUAUGUUGAGGUUGGUUCUUAGAAGCUGCACCCACAUCCUUUAUUCCCAAUCUAAGUAUUAACUGCCCUAGAUCAUACCCAAGCUACUUUAUUCUAAGUUAGCAGUGAAAAACCGUGUACCUUAUGACGUUAGCAGCAGUGAAAGCCGUACAUCGAAGUUUCCUGUGUUCUACGAUUCACUCCUUAAGUCCCCAGUUUUCUUGUUGUCGGUAGUAGCAAAAUUCUGACUUAUUCACCCAAGGCUGUAGGGCUCCAUGCUAGCAUUAGCAUUUGUAUUAGUAUCCGGACUUUCCUGUUUGAUUACUCUGGGCAUUGUUGAGUUCCUACUUCGACUUGGCACUAGAUCAUACCCUCUUAGAUCAUACCCUAUUAUUAGUAUGAGUGAAGUAACAUCCCCAUUCUAAGUAUAAGUGAAGUAACAAGAUCAUACCCUAUUAUUAGUAUGAGUGAAGUAACAUCCCUAUUCUAAGUAUCCUUAGACGUCUAGUCUAUUACUAGUAUCCGAGUUGAGAGUGAAAGUCUUUGUUAGUAUUAGUUGGAUUCCUGGUAUAGAACAUAGGAAAUACCCACCAUCCGUACUUUGUUCUGCUCCUCGGGAUUCUACUCACACUAAAAGGGAUUCCCAUUCCCCCCACGCUUAGCUUUAUGGUUCAGCUACCUAUCCCUUCGGUUCCACACUAUUAGUUGUCAGUUUUCUUCAAUGAUUCUCUUGAGUUUUGUGCCGGUACACUUUCUUAUCGCCCGGCUUCCCUAGCUUCUUAUACUUGUUACGAGUAAACUAAUACAAUUACUUAUUAAGCGAUAAGUCCUGAAGCAUAAGAAAGAAAGUAUACUCGAAUGGACGACACUUUACAAUACAAUAUUGAUUUACCUGGUGCACAAGAUAACAAGCUUCGGAAUCAUAAGAUGCUGGAUCAGAAUACCCAGAAAAGAAUCCGCCUCCAAAACUCAUACUAAUCUGAUUCCAAUCCAAUCCUAAUACUAAUCUGAUUCUUUGCGCUGUUCCUAGGUGCACUCCAUUCCAUUCAAAUAACAGACUUGGAAGCAAAAGGGAAAGCCUAUGACCUCUCUUGGAGACAGGGAACUUGAAGACAGACCCGCACCCAGAUACUGAAUGUACAAAAUGCCAUUCGAGUCUAAGAACAUGGCUUCCCACUUAUAGAAUUGCCUGAUUGAGAGUUUUCCCUUCACGUAAGGAACUGAAAGUCGACACCAGAGAUAGAGGUGAUUGUGUUGCAGAAAGAUCUGAAGCGGGAUUAUCUGCUGUUAAAGGGUCAGCUGCAAUUCUAGUCUUCAAUCUCUGUUCGAAAGGAUGAACUCGCUAAUUCCAUCAUACUUGUUCUGUUGCUAAACCCACUUUCUUGCAAAACCUAUAACUCUUUAUCCAUUACUUUUGGAUUGUGAGUAGAAUGCCCCACUUAUAGAGAAAAGUAAACAAACAUCUGACUUAUUAUUGCUGACAUAUUACUAUUGCUGGCAUAUUACUUGUUGAACUCCGCUAGGCUGCCAAGCCAACCUCUGCCCUUACUUUAAGCUUUCCGGACUCAAUUGCAUGAAAGGCUUUCAGCACCUUGUGCAUUAGCUUACUCUCGGGGCGCUAACAUCUAACCAUUGUAGUCUUGCUUGCUUAACGUAUUUCAUUGGGAUAUCAAGAACAAAAAGGUUAUCCGGAAUAGGUUUACGCUUCCUUUGUUGAGGUAAGAGCAAAUGAUCUGAUUCGAGAAUUCAUCAGAAUGGAGUUAGUCAAGUCCACUAUUUCAUAGAUACCAUAGAAAUCUCAUAUAUAUAUUAGGGGGCAAGUUCCGGAUUGAUUUCCGAUAAUGGAUUAGAUCGCACAAAUAUCAAUCCCCUUUUGACAAGGCCAGGAUUCAAUCACUUACCCAACGGAAAGGGUACUAAUGGUCCAUUAAUCUCAAAAAGGAAGGCCAACCAACCCAUCUUUGACAUUUUGGUAAUCAUCCUAUUGUUCUCGAAUUGGUCCAUUGAUUGGUCAAAAAGAGAAGAAUAUGAAAUAAGAAAGAAAAGGAUCCCAUAAUCCAGGAUUUGUUGGGUCCCUUAAGCACUAUUUUACCUAAAAUAGCUAAUUUCCAUUCAUCUUACCAUUGAUAUAACUAGUAAUCAGAUCUUGUUAAAGAAAUAUUUGCUACUUUACUAGUUUCAACAGACUUUCUUAGUACUUUAAUACUGGUUCAUAGAAUCUCUGAGAAAUCCAUCCCCAUAUUAUCUGAUAUUCCACUGUUUAGUACUGUUGCUUACUGUGCUUGUGUAAAGCUGCUCUCUGUAACUCCAUUCUGCAUCUCUUUCAGUAUGGAAAUAGCCACCAACAUAUAAUCUAAUUCCAUAUUCUUUCCCUUAUCCACCAACAUAUAAUUCUAUCUUCUUUAAUUGAGUUUAUUUGGGUCCUGUAGGAUUGACGGGGCGAACUGCGAGUUUUCUGAUACAAGCAAGAUGUUCAUCCUAGCCACUAUAGAGACCUAUUUGUCCAAUUGACACGUCCGAAGGAAUCAAUGUUGGGACUUAUAGGAUCCUUAGCCAUUCAUGUGAGGAUUGGAUUGGCCAUUGGGGAUCUAUAGAGAGUCCUUUUAAUCAAUAGCUGAAAGAAAGAAAGAUCAAAAGAGGCACUGAUAGUUUAUUUAUCACCAAUUAUCCAAAUAGAUUAAUAUUCAAUGGUGGAGCAGCAAGCAAAGCAGUAAAUGAUUUCGCCUUGCUUGAAUAGGGGCAUUCCGGAAGAACAGGUUGUUCCAGCUCCAUACCGUCAAGAGUGACUAACUAUACUAUAGCAUAGGAAGAUAUUUUUCUUAGAAGUCCGUUUCCCUGCCCAUAUGUUUUCCAUCGGGGAGCCUCCCUCAUUCCUUUUAUCGAGCAUAAUGAUGCGAAUCGGGCUUUCAUAAGUGGUUUCUAAUAUGCAGCGCCAAGCAGUUCCGCUUUCUCAGUCCGAGAGGUGCAUUGUUGGAACUGGCAAUACGUAACGCUAACGCCAAACGGCUCUAGAUUAUAAAGGGGGUUGGUUUCAGCUAUAGCCGAACACGAGGGAAAAAGCAUUUCUACUACAGGAAGGUCCCAAUAACAUUUUCUCAAGUAAUAGGGAAACUUUCCGUAUUCUAUUAGUUCUCUAUCAACGGUCCAACAAAAACACUUAAAUGCAUCAAAAACCUCAGGCGGGCAUGCAUUAAUAAAGAAUCAUUUUAGCAGACGGUGCGGCUACAGUAGGUGGGGAAGGCACUUUCUUUAGGCUAAAACUUCGUAGUCGCGCUUAUAUGCAAUAGGGAAGGAAGAAGGUCAAACUUAUCUUCUGAAGACGCAGUACUAAUUAGCGAACGUCUGGUAUAUGAAGAUAUUAAUACGGAUUUGAACAUCCAGAUAUAUUCAAUUCAAACUAAUGUUACAAGCCAAGGACCAGAAAGAAUAACUAAGCCACUUAUAGAGGAUCAUUUACUCCGCUAUUUAGAAAGAAAUGGAGCAGCCUGGGAUCUUAGGUAUAAAGAGCUGAGAUUGGAGUAGGUAAAUUCAAACCUAAGACAGCAAACGAAUCGUCGCAUGCUCCAGAGGAUGGAUUAUGACGAGCCUUGACUUGCUCAUAACUCGCCGCCCAACUAACAACUAAGCUUGGCCCCUUCCCGUAAGCGCUCCGAGCAAACUCCUUGAAAGAAUGCAAAUAAACUCUAUAAUGUGCAUAUCUUAUAUCUACUCUAUAAUGUGCAUAUCUUAUAUCUACUCUAUAAUGUGCAUAUCUAUAUCUAAUAGGAAUGGUCAACUCCCUUAUUCUUUUGAGUCGCCAACAAACACAGAUUACUUGAGAACAGAAGGGGAAGGAGACGGAACUUAUAUUCUCGAUGAAACUAGCACCGACCCUCUCUCGUCGUAUGAUUGACACCGCGCUUAAAAGCCUUCUUUCUUUAUUGAAAACUGUCCCUACAGCUCUGUGAAUGCUUGCUUGCUCGUAUCAAGUCUAAAGUAAGGUAUCAUAAGAUUGGACCUUGACCCCGGGAAGAACUAACUAACGCGUAACUAAGCAGUUCUUCUCAACACCGUAAGCACUCAGGCUUGUUCUAUGCCGCUAGCUCCUCUAUUUAUUGUUCUAUGCCGCUCGUAAGAGAUAGAUUCACAAAAGAUAGAGCUGAAAUUACUACUUUUGCUUGUGCAUUAGAGAGUGUAGCUAACGGAGUGUAAAUUCCCAUAAUUAUAUGUGUUACAAGUGAAAUGUUGAUUUGUGUUCUCCUAGGCCCAAGAAGUCCCCUUUGAAGUCUAGGCCAGGCCCUACUGCAGAGCUGGAAGUCCUGUGUUUGAGGGAAAAGCGUUAAAGCCAACACCCAGUAGUGGUCCAAGUCGAGUUGGGGUGCUAGGAAAGGAGCCCAGAGCAGAGAUUGAAUCUUCAGUUACCGGUGCGGAAGUCAAGUCUCUCGUUCUAGUAACAAGUGCAGGUCCAGGUCCAGUUAUCGCCCCAACAGACUCAGCAGUAUAAAGAGAAGGAUAAUAGGCAAGAUCCGGCUUUUCUUUACUGGUUCGAUAAUAAGCUUAAUCAGAUAGAGAAGAGUUCGCCCGGAACCAUAUAUGAUACGGGAGCUAGGGUAAAUACUCCAUUCUUCUAUGCCAGGUGCUCGAUAUACUCAAUGAAAUGUUAUAAGCGCUAUGGGGGUCCUCUUAUACUCAAUUCCAUACUAGAUGCGGAUCGGAGUAGUUUCACCCUAUAUGCUAUGGGAGAGUCCGGAUCUGGAGCUGGGUAUGAAUAAGUAUUAGAAGCAAGCAAGUCCUGUCUUUGGCUAAGGUUAGGCGCUAACAGAGUUUCAAUUCCUAUGAGAUAUGGCGCAUCAGCAUCAGUGACAGUUCAGUGUCAUUUAUAACUCACUGCCGCCAACUGUUCAAGCAGAAGCAUAAGAAAGAGAAUUGUUCAAGCAGAAGCAUAAGAAAGAGAAUCCGAAUGUUACAGCAGAAAGGAUAAUGUCUUUUCUAGAUAAUUACUAUAGUAGAGUUUAGAAGUAAUAAAGUGAGUGAAUCUGUUCGUGUGCCAAAGUCAUCUGAAACUAGAGUUCGGGCAAGAUAGGGAAUUCCACAGAAGAUUUGUUUAGACCAUAGCUUCAACUUAGAGAUAGAGGCCUAACACAGCUCGCGCACAAAGCUGGAACUAGGAAGUCACCAAAACCAUAUGUAGUACCCGUACCUGGAGUGGAAUGAUUUGAGUUGUGGAAUUCUUAGUGUUAUACCUGUAGUACCAAUACCUAAGUUGCAUUUUGUUAGUACUGAGUGCAAUUCUGACCUUAGUAGCAGAAGAGGGAUAGGGAUGCGUUAAUUAACUGAGUUGUCUUACUAGGAGUUAUAUACUAAAUGCCUAAAUGCAGAGAAUUGGUAAUAUGUUUCUUUCUUUCCUUGUAGCUAGAGAUAUCCUACUUCCUGUUCAAGAGGUAGCUUGCCUGGUCACUUUCCUAGACACGGGUACUAUCUAGAGAGCAUAACCAGAAGCCUCAGAUGGAUCAUUGGAUGCUGGAUCAAGGAAGUAAGUAUCCGAGGAUUGUCCUGCUGGGAGCACUACUAGGUUUCACAAGUCCUGGUUUCGGGUGCUAAGCCUACGAUGGGGCUGGAUCAGAUGAUGCAGAAGAAGCAAGACCUGGAGAAAGAUCUUCAAAAGCCAACAAGCCAGGCCUCUUCGGGUUGUAUUCUUGUGUAGUUGGGGUUAAUAAAUAAAGUCUAGUUCGGGCGCUAAACUCGAAAGAGGGUAUUAGUUUUGUUUACUUGACUCUAGCUCUCAGUAAUGACCAGAGAAUGGACUGUAUUGCCCCUAACCUUAUUUCUUAUGAUCCUCUUCAGCGCUAAGUCAAUCAGCAGUAAGCACAUCUGUUCUUAUAAGUCUAGGUUCGGUGCUAGUGUUGUCUACGAGAGAAUUGCUUGGUAAGCUGGAUUCAAGUAAUUAGUAAGUGGUACAUUAGAUUAGCGAGUGAAACUUCAAUCACUCAUGUCGGCACCCUUUCCUGUUGAAUAUCUUUCAUAGGGAGGACCUGGCCUUUGAACAAAACCCUUCUUUCUUAUCUUCUGCUGGUUCCUAAGCAUGUUCACAAGAUCUGAUUGCAUAGUCUCUCAUAAUAGCAUGUAAUAGAUUUAUUUCCGAGCUACCGGCUUGCAACAAAGAAUGAAACGGAAUCCCUUGCUUCUGAGAAAUAGGAAUAUGCUUCCCCGACCCAAGAGUAAGCUAGAUAUAGGCACCUCGAAACCGAAAGUAGACUUACUGCGGACUAAACCUGCGCUGAAGAAGCACUUUAUUAAGAUUAUGCCCUAAACCCAGACUUGACUAGCACUGCGGAUUCUAUACUGGAAGACGAUGAAGAUAGGAACUCAACAAAUCAUUCGGAAACUGGCUGUUAGCGCAGAACUUAUAUCUACUUAAUGGACUUUGCUAGGAUAGGAAUAGGAUGAGACUGAUUGACUUAGGGUAGUGUAGUGCAUCAAAGCCAGUAAUAGCUUCUGAUCUUGUGGACAAAACUCGUAUUGGCCAACAGUAGUUAAUCGGUUAAGGCAAUUCGUGUCUUGAUUGAAGAUUGCCUAUUAUAAGAUAGGUAAAUUCAUAGAACAAAUAGAGUUUUGGAGUUGAUAGAACAAAUAGAGUUGGGGCAUCAGCAGGAGUAGAGAAUAAAGAGAAGAUACUUGCGCCGAAACAGGAGUAGAAUCAUUAGCCUGUAUCCGGAGUGUCAAGAUAAGAUACGGGAUAAGGUGAAGGUGAGGAAUACUGAUCUUCGGUAGGUAAAGAAUAUAGAGCUUUCUCUCUGAUGCUAAAGAAUCCGCUGGUCCUGUUAGCACCCAAUAGUCGUGGAGUUCCUCGUCGAAUUCGGUAUACCUAUACUCUGGCUACUCGGGAGGACGCCCAUUAUUAAAGAUGGAAAGUCCGGGUUUGAGAGUUAUAAACGAGUAUUGUUUUCGCCUGUCCGGGGUAGUCAAUUAGGGAGUAUCGGUUGGAAAUGAAUAAAGUCAAGGCUUUGUUGCGAGGUGUGAGCUAGGUCAGUGAUUCUUAUUGGAAUACCAGGUCCUGUAGUUGUAGAGAGGGAAGCCGGAGUGGAAAGAGAUGAGAUGAGCCUUUGUUAGAUUAGAUGAGAGCCAUAGGAUAGGCUUAAUUAAGUGCUUGUGUUAAGCAUAGAAGAAAUCUAGAAUAUUUGUUAGCUUGUCCCCUCCUAAAUGGGAUCUUUUCUUUAUAUAUGAUGAAACUCACUCGGGUCGGGGUGAACACUUAUUAGAGGUCGGGUCUCAUAAGAAAGAAAGUAUAGUUUAGGUUGCCAGGUAGCUGGGUGUUAGAGAGAGUGGAGUCUAGGCCCUUAUAGUAUGUUGGAAAGUACUGGCUAGCUGUUCAGGGAAAUAAGUUUGAACUCCUUAAAACAGUUGUAUUUUAGGUACUUAGGUGUCUUCUCUGUUCUGUAGCAAGCAAGAGUCUAAACGGUCUUAUUCUUGCCCAACCCCAGUACGGGUAGUUAAGUAGGAGACAAACAACUAAUAAAGGGGAUGAAACUAUCAAGUAGGAAAGUCAGAAUGAAAGUCGUUACUUGGCCGCCUUUCGUCGUUGCUUGGCCCCCGCUUGCAGCUUACUUCAGAGCUGUUGAUUCGAGAGACCCCCGAUCAUGUGCUUACUUACUUUAAGAAUAGAGUUUUAUACUUUUCCUGAGUGAACCUGUGCCCUUAAUUAGUGGGCCAAGCGUAUACUAAGUGCUUUUGAGUCUGCUGAAUCCGUAUCUGUAUCAGGAGCCUCAUCCAAGUUAUCAACUUUGCCAACAACAAGAACUGGCCAAUCAACUGAUUCUGCUUGAGUUUCAUUAUUAUGCCACUUAUAUACCUGCCAUCAAGGGAAGCGGGAACAAAGACAGGACAAAGAAUUCCAUUACAAUAGAGAAGGUAGAAAACCACUUAUAUAUCCGCAGAGGUAGGCCAAGUAGUGCUUCAUGCCCCAAAGAGGUAGACAAUCAGUUGACUAAACCCCGGGGCAGGGAGGAUAGAGUGAGUUCAGGUCGGGUGUUCAAGUUGUCUAGGUUGGUGCUCCAGCUCCAGUAGUGUAUUGGACCUAUCAAAUUCAUUAAUAUCUUAUUAUAGAUUACAUUUAGGAUGAAACUCGGGAUGGUGCCUAUAUAGAACCCGUCCUGGGUAGUCAAUAUAGAUGUCCGGGGGAGUCAAUGCCCCUGAAAGUAGUAGUGCACACCUGUUAUAGAAUUCAAUCCAAAAAGUAGAGUUGUUGGCUUGCAGCUAGGUUCGAGUAUGGUUCGCUUGAGUCUAGGUAUUGUUUGACUUUCAUCCUUUUGAAAUAGAUAAUGGAAUCCAAAUUUGUUGCUGUAGUGACUUGGCUCAUAGCAAAUAAAGAAAUAGUAUUAGGACUUUUGUUCUACUUGCCUAGUGUCUUGUCUGCGUUUCUCUUGCUCUCGUACUGUAGCUUGUCGUCUUGUCUGCUUGGCCCUGGUUUUGAGUUACAGCGCUGUUAGCAUUGGUUCCACUCUCUUGAUUAGUGGAAUUACCUGUUUUGAGUUCAAGAGUUAAGAAAGAGGAUUUCAAGAGUUAAGAAAUAGGAUUUCAAUAGUUAAGAAAUAGGAUUGAAGUCUGCUGCCCCAGGUCCAGGUCCAAAGUAAGGUAAAGAAAAUGCACCGAUCAUCCGAAAUAUCGGUUCACUUAUUUAAUGAUAUUACAAGGGUCGGGGUCGGGGUGUAAUAGAAGACAUAGGAAUGAGUCGUGACGGCGUAGUUACUUGGCCAUUAGUAGUUGCUUGGCCCGGCACAGUAGAGGAAAGCCUACUAGAUGCUAUAUUAUCCUUAUUAAGGAUGACAGAUCAAACUAAGGAGUCAAACCGGGGAUAGGAUCCAAUCCAUCUUUGGCUUCGGCUUUAGCCUCUUAUUCUUAUUAAACUCGGGAUGAAACUAUAGUACAGGCUUGGAGAGAAAGAGUUAAUGGUUGGAAGGUUACCUAUUCUAUUUCAAUAUGUGCUAUCGUAGUUGCUCUAGGAUAACGGAUUCCACAGGAAAUCUCUCUCCUCACUGACAACCCUCGCUACGAACCUAGACAAUUAUAACUUGACAUACUUUAGAGGAUAGAUAGGCGUUAACACUAGAGGCCCUUAUUGUAAGUUUCGGGAAGGUAGAAUCUGUCACCAAGGAAAAGAGGUCGACAAGGUCAGUUGAGUUAGCCGUUGCGCAAGGGAACCAGCAAGCAAUUCAACAAGUUCGGUUAUUAAAGUGGAGUCUUGUUCGAGGCAUAAUCUAGUACUUGCUUUGAAACGAGGUGUACAAAAGUCGAGAGAGUAUCUAAAAUAAGUGUUGGUUUGGGUUCAGAAAGUGGAGGAAAUUCCGUAUUUCGAGUUAACCCUUGUGCCUCUGUCUGUCCUUAAUUCUUCCAUUCCCUCUUAAGCCCUUGUGCCUCUGUCCAAUGUGUGUUGCCUAUGCCUUUGUGCUUGAAUGUAUUGCCUAUGCCCUUCAAGCAGAAGCAAUUGAGUGCUACUAAAGCCAUAAAUAAUAUGAGUAUAAAUGAAGCAUGCCACACCUUUCCUAAGGUGCAUUCGCAUUCUGUCUUCUUUACAUUCCAAAUAAAACAAUUGAACUUGACAUGGCACGCAAAGAAAGGGAAAAAGCCAUGAGCAGAGCUCUACGGGGAAAAGCCUAGUAUUAAAGGUGAGGUAAAAUUCCUACCCAUUAGAUAUGCGCACUAGAUCAAAUAUUUCAAUGAAGCGCAUGCAUCAGUUCAGAAAUGUUGAUUUGAGUUGCACGAUAGGAGUUUUGACGUGUUAGGGAGCAGCAAGCGGGUAAUCUUCAAGGGGAGUAAUUGUAUCAUUGUCAGCCGCAAGCGAGUAAUCAGAACUUCCAGUCGGGGGUAAAGGGAAUAAUCCAGUGUAUUGGCGUAGCAGCUAAGGGAAGAAAAUCAGAUAGUACGCGCAGGAAAGUCAGAACUAUACUGGAGAGGAAGAAACGGAGACAUUGUUGUUACCCGCUGCUAGGCAUUCUAUAAGUAGGUAAACAACCAUAGUUCAUCAAGGAGAGUUCCAUUGUGUCUGGCUCAACAAGUAAAGAGAACUCAGUUAGCGCUUCUAACUCCUUAUUUUAAGCUUUAAGCACGAAUAUCUGUUUCGAGCUCCUUUCCGAGAUACUUUCAUUGCAUCUUUUCCUGCUUAGCUUCUAAUACUUCUUCGGCUUUCAGAUACGGAACCUGAUCCUACUCUUGGUAAGACUUCUGCGCUCUCCAGUGAAGAAUUGCGAGUAGAAAGUUUUCAUUGAAGAAUAGAAUGGCUGUCGGCACCCUGCUGUAUACUGCUUGCAAGUAUUGGUAGGGUAGCAGCGAGAUGGUUUACUUAGCACUCUCACUGUUUACUUGUUCGAAUGAAUAACAUUAAUAAGAUUCUCUCUCUCUUUUGCAUAUUCUAUAAUUACUGACACUCCUGCGAAACUCUACAACACUAUCAUCACAAGUAAGGCCGGCAUAGAGGUCACUUUUACCAGGCCGAGACAUAAAGGGAACUCGCUGGAAAUGUUCUGCUUGCUAACAUUGCAUAGGAGCACUCCCACUAAGCUCACGUUAGCCCUUUGCUUGCUUGUUCUCUCAACUCGACGAUGAAAAAAGGAAUGGAAUGCACAACCCAUAUAUGAGUUUGUAGUCACCUAACAAAACACGUGUACUGCUGACUUGAAGCUCUAAUGACUUUUAUCUGCUCCUGAUAUCCCUUCCCUAUGGAGAAGCCCUUAUGUGUUGUUCCCUGCCUGAACACAAUAAUAAGUAAGAGCGCCCCGAAGGACUCUAAAGAAUGGAAUUUCUGAAAGCAGCUCAUAACUCCUAAUGCUAUGAAUUGCAUUUCAAUAUUCUCUCUUGCAUAGUAUGUAAGAUAUGAUUUCUCAAGAAUCAAACGCGAUUGCCUAGGAUAUAAUAUCUGAAUGUGAAAAACACAGAGCAUAGCUUCGAACCGGACAUUGGCACUUGCGAGGAGAGAGUGCGCCCACCUUAGGUAAUUAUGUAACCUGAUUGCUUACUCAUGAAACAAAAACAGCUACAAAACUCUUCAAUUCCAAAUCAAUAUUAGAUAGAGGCGCCCGAUCAAGUGCACAAGGGCUUGCGAAACUGUUUCUAUUUUGCAUUUCAUGCGCUUGCUCAGUUCUUGGAGUUGUGCUAACAGAGGUUCUUCAAGGAUGGUUUCUUUUGGUCCUAGUGUUGGCGCAAGAAGAGGUGUAGCAGUUAGUUAAAGCUAAAGUUGGGUCAUCCGCAAGCAACGAAGCUGGACAAGAAGUUGCAUCCUAGUAAGCGGGACAAUCCGUAUAGCUUUUAUCGUCUAAUAAGCCAUGUUUCUAAUAAAUGAAUGGAAUGGAAUAGGCAUUGAGGAAAAAGUGGGAAUUGGAAGAAUGGAAUUCAGUAUCCAAGAAUUCCACUAGGGAAGCAAUGGAAGGUAUUGGCUAAAGCCUAGGCGCGGGUAGUUUACUUGCUUGUUAUAGGCUAGUUGACUUACUUGUUUUGGUGGUUACUCUACUGCAGGUUCGGUGCUUGGAAGCAAUGUUGCUAAUGUUGCUAAGGUUGCUAAUGUUUCUAAGGUAGCUAAGGUAGCUAAUAUAACAGAUGGGGGCAAUCGGUAGGCUUACUACUGACUACUGGGUAUUAUUGCGGGUUCCAAUUUAGAUUAGUGCUUCCUAGAAACUCUGAGAGAGCAGCGCAGAAGAAGAGGCAAAAGAAGAGAGAAAAAGAGAGAAUUCGGUAGAGAGCGAAACGGCAAAGCCAGAGCAAUCAGGGAUAACAAGGAAGAAGAACACAGAACAGACAGAGAAAGAAACCAGUUGCUCACUAGGAACUAACAUAACUCUUGACAUCAGUGGAACGGUGGGCUAUUGUAUGUUCGGGUUCUUAAAUAAGACAUAAGCAAAUAAUACAGGUAAGACAUAAGCAAAUAAUACAGGGUGGUACUCCUUCGGAGAACUUAGAAACACUUUAUUAAUAAUUUGUCAAAGAAUAGUUUUCUCAUUUCGAAUUAUUUUAUGGAAUUUGGUAUUUCAUUUGAAUUUGUAUUAUCUUAUUUCAUUUGAUUAGUUUGCAAUAAGGAGGAAAGCCAAAGCGGAGGAAGAAGAAAAGGACUAUAUACUGACGAAAAAAGAAAGCAAGGAAACAAAGAAAGCAUGCAGAGAAACCAUUUAUAGCAACGAGGACAAGAUAACGAAAACGUGGGAGCCGACACGGGGAAAAUAGGCUAACAAUCUUCUUGUGGGAGCGACGCUCGAUAGCCAUGGAAUAACUCUAAGGUACGAUGAACUGCACAACUAGCCAAACAAUUCAGAAGUCCAAUUUCAGAAAGUAUGUACUAGUGACACUCUCAAGAGCUGAUGCAACCCAACAGAGAGCUAACAUACAAAAGUCAGAUAGAGUUAGUUCGGGGCGGGUGCUUGUGCUAGUGAGAAUGAAACCGGGUAGACGUAGACUCAUAAUUGAACUAGCAGGUAUAAGCCCUAAAACCAGUGCAUCAAGGACAAGAAUCAAACUAGUGAGGAGCAGCCUGAAAGCAAGGGUAGCUAGAAUGAGAAUGAGGAGUGACGGGCUGAAACCACCACCACUGAGAAUGUGCCCCAUGAGUUACAGCCUACCCGACCCGAGUCACAGAAUAGAGCUGACCAAUCACAGAAUUGAGCUAGUCCACUGAGCUACUAAAUACAGAAUCAACCUAGCAACUAUCAGAACCCGAAGAGCCAAGUAACUACAAAUGUGAUGCGGCAGUCCCCUUACCGUUCACCUAUAUAAAGAGAAGAGAGAAUUAAGUAUGGGACAAGUAACUACUAAUGUGACGCGGCAGCCCCUCCUUCCGUUUUCUUUCCUUAAUAAAGUUCUAGCUAUUUUCUUCUACUUCACUUAUACUGUGUUGGUAUACGGGUUUCCAAAGUGGUUUUUCAGGAUUAACAGCGUUCGGUGGUGUCUAUUGCGGGUUCCAAUCAUGACUAGUUGGUCCUAGCGUACUGAAGGCAGCCAUCAACUCGUCGGUACGAAGGUGCGGAAGGCAGACAUCAUCGUGUAGGUAAGAGGGGACGGAAGGCAGACAUCAUCGUGUAGGUAAGAGGGGGCGGAAGGCAGCCAACCACUUUAGUGAAGGAAUGUCGAAAGUCACUUCACCAUAAAGAAUAGGGUUCAAAAAGCACUAGAACAUAACAAAAGUCGUUUUAUGGGAAAUCCUUCUAAAAAUGGGGGCACAGAAGAACGGCAGGUCCGCUAGUCAAUUGCUUGAAUCUAUACCACACUCGAUAGAUGAAAUGAAAUAAAUGCGGAUUGCCCCUUUCUUUCUUAAAGGAACAGGAGUAGUUGACAUUGCCAGUGAAAUUGAUCUGCCAGAAUUCUGAAGUUGACUCUAAGCUAACUGUAGGAAUCGCUACAAGCUCUGGGGCAAGGUAAGGAUGGGGUGCGGCCUAAGACCCUGUGGUGGAGAGGUAGCUUGCAUGAGUUAAUGACCGAUCAAAGAAUGAGUUCGCCGACACACCUAUUGUUGCUCGACCCAGCCCAGUUGCCCGUGCCUCGAUGAAUGAAUGGCCCUACCCGCCUUCCUUUAUUAUUGUUGAUCGCAACUCCAUGAAUGAGAGAUUACCCCCGUUGACUGAGUUAAUGACCGAUCAGAGACUAAUAGAUGCUACCCCAAGGCUUAGUUGUGUUACUCGGAUAAGGAGAAUGAGCGGUACUACUAGAAGAAUUAGCUCUGUUUGGAGGUGACUCAUAUAAACCCAAUAAGAAUACUGCCUAACAAGUAAGUGAACCACCCUACUACAUUGAUGGACUAUGAUAAUAAAAUAGAGAAAUCAGAAUUAGUUCGUGGUCGCUCGUGGACUGAUUGGUUAUACCUUUCAGAAUGAGUUGCCGACGUAGCUAAUGGGGAACAAAGAAUGAGUCAUAUAGUAGGCCCGCUCCUAUUAGUAGGCCCGCAGCUCCUCUUCUUUCCUCUUUCACUCUCCCUCUCUUGUUUAACCCUACCAUUACUUCCUUGAAAACGAAAACGACUACCUGCGCUACCUCACCAGUUGCUCGCACGCCCCUCCAUGAAUGAGAUAUGAUCCACAGAGACUUAGUUGAUGGCCGAUCAAGGAAUUAGUUGUGCCACUUGAAGACUAUGUUAUGUUACUUUCGGACUGAGCUAGGGGAAUUGAAGAAUGAGUUAUCUUCUGACAAGAGCUAGUGACCCGACUUGAGGAGUGAGUUUUCCUACAAACGUUUAUUGGUGACCGACCCCAUCGAUGCACGUCCGCUGGCCUUUCACCCAAUUCAUUAACUUAACGAUAUUGCCCGAACCCUUCGAUGCACCACCGAACGAACAGAACAAAGACAGAGUAGCUGGACCAGAGCAAAGAACGAGUGUGUGGACGACCGAAGCCUUUAACUAGAAAUACCAACGCAUGUUGUUUCGCACACCCAAUGCAUGGUCUUUGGGUAGGUAAGGGAAUAGCUUCUUUUGGUCAGUAUCAGUAAGGGAAUAGCUUGUGCGUGUAGCAAUUCAAUAUAUAUGUUUUGUAUAGCCAAUAAGAAUUCGAUUAUGGUUGUAAGAGGUCUACUCUGACUGGAACAUCUAGCCGAGGGACAUGGGAGAAUCCAAACUACAAGAGAAUAUUAGUAUAUGAAAACACAUUCCAAUAUAUGCUAAUAAAUUAUGGUAUUAUUCCCUAGCUACAGCUUAGAUCAAUUCUUCCAUUAAAGUGCUUAAUUCUCUUAUAGUGGAGCUGGCUUUCUGAUUUCAAAUAUCAUUCAUUUUCCACUGCUUUGUAGUUAUUAUCUCUGGUUGGUGUAGGCAUUCUUCCACUGCUGAGGUGAACAAGUGAGGCUCGGACUAUUGAGUGGAAAUUCACUCCCAUGUUACUUAUUCUUAUUACUAUUAUAGUAUAUGCACUGGAUCGUACCAAUACUCCCGAGUUUGGUUCUAUGUGCUUACCCACCCUUUCGAUUCUAUGUCCGACAACUUAUUCUUCAUCUAUGUGCUGUGGAUCGUGCCUGUAUUCUCUAUUCUGAUUAGAAUUAUUAUUCUGAUUGAACUUUAGCAGUUUAUUAUGAUGAUAACUUAUGCAGUCAAUCACGAUACUAGUCUAAGGUGCGGUAAGGCAAGGCAAAAUGGCAGGAUAGUAUGAGUUAGAGUCAAGGGGGGUAGGCUCCAUAGUUAGGUUAAAGAGUUAGCCCGAAGCAAGUGAGGCUCCGUAUCUGUGUUUAUAGCCUUCAAAGUGUUAGCUGGUUUCCCCGUUGCUGGAGUACUUUUGAGUUCUUGUUUACAUUGGUUACAGCCCAGUGAGUACUAGUUUUGUUCUCGUUAUUAGUGUCAAAUUCUGAUUAAUGGUGAUUGGAUUCCCGGGAGCAAGUAAAGGUCUUGCUAGUUUGAUAUUAAUGUUCCCUUUUUCAAGUUCAAGUAAGAGAAGCACUUGUUCAACGUCCUCCUUUUGGUAGAUCAUUGCCGUUGAUCCUAGCAAUGAAGAAAAAGGCUAUUCCUUUAGCUGGGCACGCUGGGCAGUAAGAUGUUAACUCCGCUUUUGCAGAUACUCUUGCCGUUGAAGGAACAAACGCAAUAGCCAUAGAGUAGUCAAUACCCGGAUAACAGUCAAUGGAUUUAGGAAAGAAAGGUCCCAGCCCAAGUGAUAGAGUGGCCAAGCCAAGUAAAAGCACUUCGCCCGAUAGCUAGGGGAGAUAUUCUAGUUUACAAGGAAAGAUCAGAGUCUGAUUACCUUAAAUAGGCACUGAAAGCAGGAAGCAUCACAUUAUUAUUCUUUUAUGAGACUACCCACCAAGCAGCCGAACAUAGGACAGGCAAGCCCCGCGCCUGACGCGUCACAUUAGUAGUGACUUGGUGCAUCUACAUCUAGUAAUUUCCCUCAGUAGUAACAGUAUCGGUGGGAAAGGGAAGCAGUUCAGUCAGAUUUGUUGGUUAGUAAGUAAGGCCAGGCCGGGAAGCAGUAAAGGAAGGCUUACAAUCGCACAUAAGGUUUUGAAGGCAUUAGUUUCAGUUUGCUAUUAGGGAGUGGUAGGGCGAGCUAAAGGAUAGUAGGGGAGCUACAUAAAGUCAGAGUCUAAUCCUUGGAGGGGAAAUCCGGAAUGCAAUGAGCAAUACCUGAGAAUGAAAACAGGCAAACUCUCCUGGCUAUCAAAUACAACUAUAGGAAUCCUACUAAUGGGAAUAAGAGCAGAGGUGUGGACCCUACAGUCUGGUUUGUUGAGUUAACCAGCCCUUCCUCGAUAUCAUUCCUACUUUACUGAGAACAACACUCCUAGCUUUCGUUCUUAGAUGCCGAACACAGGACUUGGUCAUAACAGGAGCAGCCAAUUCUGGAAUCCUUAAUAAAGAUAUAUGAAAUUAACCGCCAAGACACGCAAAGACAACUAGAAACAUAAAUGCACAUAAACAGUUAUGCUUGCUCUCUUACUCCCUAUGUGUUCUGUGUCGCGGCAGCCAAAAAACAGUUCUUAUAUGAUAUGUACAAAUCCUGUUUACACCCUACUAUUUGUUUAGUGUGUUAGUACUGGAAAAUGAUCUCGACUUUUCUGCAACUAGCGGCACUGCCGCGGAACACUAGUAGUUACUUGGCUCUCAUUGAUUGUUUUUCCAAGGUCAGAAACAGAAGCCUACCCUCGCCUCGCAUCAAACCCAUCAAAAGUGCUUUCUUAGACCAUCAAUCUUAUAGUUAGAGAGGACUUUUCUUGCCCCUCAGGGGGUGGUCAGUGUUCUUUUUUACCUAACACUCAAAAAGAUGCGAAAUACAGCAUUUCCAGCCCUAUUCUUAUAAUUCCAAAACCCGACCCCUUAACUAAACACAUGAUGGGCAAAACGGGACCCCUACCCAUACUAGCAAGUCAGUAAACAAAACAACCCCGUAACUACACAAAGGAAAUAGGAUUCCACAGCCAAUCUCUCUUCUAUGGCACCCGAGACUUGGAGCUAGGCUUAGGCGCAACCACAUCUAUGACAUUCUGGUUUCUUUAAUAAUAACAGAUAUAUUUCUAGCUUUCCUACUAGCUUACCUCUUAGUUGAAUUCUGAAACUACUUCUUAUCUUAUUGGACUUCUGGUCCUAGGGAAGAAGAAGAAUCAAAGCCAGGACUUAUAGUCAUUUUCGGUAGCACUACGGACAGAGACUACCUGGUUGCAUUCUUAAGUACCAACUAGCAGACAGGGAAUCGAUACCUUAGCUACCCUUGGUUUCAGCCUUAGUAGCUGUAGUUUCAGUCUUAGAUGCCCUGGUUUGAGUCUUCUAUUAGUUAGCUCCGUUCUUUGACCUGCCAAGUGCAAUUCUGUCCCUGACUGGUUGAAUUCUUUACUGCUUAAUGGGUAAAGUCUUACCCGGUGGAUCAAUGGUUAAGGCUGUUACUCCCGAGUUUGAGUCUUGCACUGACUGGGUUGAGUCCGAUACCUGCUUAGGGACAUUCUUGGACUCCCCGGUUGCAUUCUCAGUAGACACCGCAUCAGGCUUGGAAGCAAUAGUAUCGGUCUGGUCGGUACCGAUAUCAGGCUUGCACUUCCCUGUUUGGUUCUUGGACUACCUUGUUUUAGGCUGUAACUCCAUAGCUUCAGUCUUACUACCAUCAGCUCUAUUCUUGCACCGAUCAGCUUCAUUCUCUAACUCCUUAGCUACAGUCUCUAACUCGCUGGUUUCAGUCUGCCUAGACACCGUAUAAGGCUUGCACCGAUCAGCUCCAUUCUACCCAGCACUGGUUGUAGUCUGGUCAGUAGUAGCUAUAGCCUUGGACUUACUGCUUUGAUUCUGCCACUCCCUUGUUUUAGUCUUAAAGGAGUGAGCUCCAUCCUAUGCCUUACCCGGUUCAGUCUGGUAGUUGUUGGUAUCAGUCUUUGCCUCGGGUCGGGUAGGCUUUGACUCCUUAGUUGGAUUCUAAGUGUGCCUAGCUUAGGUCUGCCCAGCACUGGUUGGAGUAUGCCUAUGCCUGGGUGAAGUCUUGAUAGUAUCGGUUUCGUUCUGUCACUGCUGAGGUCAAUUCUGAUCUGAGUAAGAGACAUAGGCAGGAAUCGACAUGGGCAGGAAUCAGUGGGAGUAGUUGAAGUCUAGCUGUUAGUGCACCGGUUCUGCUGGUUGGUAGUCGAAGGCUGGUUGACGGCAGUGAGUUAAAGCGCGGUAGGGAGCUAAAACGAGUUGCUUUUGUGCCUAUAUCUUUAGGGUCGGUAACUAACCAUGUGCAGUUGCUUGUCUAAUAGUUCCUUGGCCCAGCUACUACUAAGUGCUUUGGUCGGCUCGGGAAGAAAUAGUCAAUAUAGGUGAUAACUACUAGGUACUCCAAAUGAGAUACUAGAUUUGGAUUAGCUGGCUUUCACACCAGAUAGAGAGUAGAGUGACUUGGCUCAGUGGAGUUUUAGGCCUUGCCCCUUUUUAGUGGUCAAUACAAUAUUCAAGAGGCGUCAAGUUAAUUCUAAGGACAGUUUCUUAGUUUCAAUGAUGUUUCUGUUCGAAAUGAGGAGGAAGCUCCUAAGGGAGUAUUUUCUAGAUCUUGGUAAUAAGGAUAGAGGUAAUAAGAAUAACAGAGUUGGGUAUGCAAGAGAGUCAAAUAAAUAUGAAACAAGGCGCUCUCAAGAUGAAAGAAAUCAAUCUUUUCCGGCUCUGCGCUCAAUUCCAAUAUUUGUAUUAGAUUAAUAUAGGAUAUAGAUUCAACUUCAUUAAGGAGAGAGAUUCCACUUAUAUAAGGAUAGAGAGAGAUUCCACUUAUAUAAGGAUAGAGAUUCCACUUGACUUCAAUUACUGUUUGACUCGGUAAGGAUGGAUAUUCCACUUGACUUCAAUUACUGUUUGACUCGGCCUCUUAGCACUAUAAUAAAUACUCUAAAGUUCUAUUCUUGGUGGACUUGCUCGCUCGUAAGGGAGUUGACCUGACAGCCCUAGAUUCCAUGGAUGUGUUUGCGAGAGGAGCAGCUUAAUUCCAUAAUUAUAGGAGUUGUGUUGAUGCAGAGAAUAUUUCAAUGAAGUGCGUCAGGCGCUAACGGAGCUGACAAUUUCCAGUUUGCCGGGUAUAGGAAAGUUUCGUUAGUUCUAGUUAAGUCUUAGAGCGGUGCUUUACUUUAAUCAUAUAAAGAAUAAGAUCUCUUUUCAUGCCCAAGAUAGAAUAUAAGCCCCGAAGUAAGAGAAUGUGAGUUCGCCGUUGACAGUUUGUUUCUAGAGCAAGAACUCACCUUAGCACAAGGGAAUAAACUCGGAAUUGACUUGAAAGCACAAGGGAAUCACCCGGAAUUGAAUAAAAGAAAAUAGAACUCACCUAACUCACCAAUUCAUAUAAUUGAGAAACUUGACCUCACUACUAAACUAGAAAUGGAAAACUCAACUAAUAUCGCCCACUCAAGUGGACAACAGCUUGUAUCAUAGGCGCCCGGCCCGUGGACAAGACAACGGCUUGCGUCAAUACUUCAUUCAAUGGAAUCUUCCCCUAAUGCAAAACUCCUAACCUAAUGCCUCUGGUGCUGUUGCUUCUGCUGUUCCCUUGCUUGCUAAUGGGGCCCGCUUGCAACAUGGAAUUUCCUAUUUCUAUCUCUUGCUUAGCACCCGACCUCGUAAGUUAAGAAUGUAAUCUCUAUCGAGCACCCAGUGAAGAAUUGAAUGAAGUACAGACCCCUAAAACAGGACUUGGUUCUAAUUGGCGGGGGGCUGAUUUGAGCACCGCUUCUAAUCCAUCUCAUGAUCUGGCUUCUACUUUCACUUCAACUAGAACAGGAACUUGCCUACAAAGAUCUCCAAGAACGACACUUGACUUUACUCGCACAGAUCCUUAUCCUUAUUCUUCUGGAACUUGAACAGACUUUCGAGCAACACAUGAGUACCAAGUAUAUAAAGAAUCAAGUAAAUACACGGACUGCAUCCAUUAUCUUUUGACUGGAACCGCUUGCUCUGCUGCUUUCUCCGUUAGUUCUAGUCAAUAGAAUCGGGUCAGGUCAAUAGAACCGAGCUCCUACAGCUACUAUAUUACUUGAGCAAAGGAAAAAAGAAGAGUAUGCUGACAGACGGAAGGGAGUUCCAGAGAUAUUCUCCACAGCUUUCAGGAACGAGCUCCUUUACCACACACAUCCUGUAGACUCGGGAAAGCUUUCAAUCAGACUAAGGUAAAGCGCCAAUAACAGAUUGACUUAGGGCAGAAAAAUCCCGUUCCCGUCCCUAGCUGUCAAGACAGUGACAGUUUUGUCUUAAGUAAAAGAUUGAUUUCAUCACUGAUGUUAUAUAUAACCUAGGAGUGGAAGGGCAUUACACAUAGGAAUUUCCAAGACUACUCUCAUUGUAGCUGACUCGUCGCCAACACCAAUAUACCUAAAGCAGCUUCUACAACUGAUUCAUGUCUUUCUCCUUCUGUUGCUUCUAUUCCGUCUUUGGAUCUUGUCGACUCUACUUUACUUCCUGCUUCGCUUGUUGUGAAAGCCUGAGUUUUAGUAGUGUAAGAUUAGCCAUUUUAUUGGUUAAUAGGCGUUAAAGGACUAUUAUGGGUGGGAUUCUGACCUUAUAAAGCUCCUGAUCUUGUAUCUGCUCUCUAUGACUUUCAUCGCACCUACCGAGUAGAGUCUGGUUGUUUACUCAUCAUAUGCUCAAUUCUAUUGAAACUAAAUGAUUAUUUGCGCUACUCCUAUUCUAGGUGCACUAUCCUUAAUGAAAGAAGCAACGGAAGACUAGUUGUGCUAACGCGAGUCCGCUUGUUAUAAGCUAUGCAAUGGUUGGUUACUAACAUCUCUGUCAGUGGGGAGUUCUAUUCUAUUCUUUUGACGAACUAUCUCCCUAAAGUGAAGAAUUCAUUGAAUCUUGAUCUCCGGAUGGCGAAGCGAAGGAGUGUCCACCUUCUCAAUAUUAUAUUCAAUACUCUACUAUAUUCCCUUCUAUUUGCUUGCUCGUUUCAAAUGAACGACUAAUAAUGGAAUGAGUUUAAGCUGACUGCUGACUCACAACUUGAGUAACCUAACAAAACACCUAUUACUUGCAGGCUCAAUGCGUAACGGCUAACUCAACUGUCUGACGAAUGUCAUCAAGAUAAACUCAGUAAGCCUAAGUGCGUAAGCGAGUUCUUUCCGAGCAGUAGGGAGAGUAAGGCCAGUCAAUUACUACUUUAUGGAAUCAGACCUUAAGGCUAAGGCACAACACCGAAACAAAGAAAAGGGCCAAGCAACGUUUAGCCUAGUAGUAGAGUAGUUGGCUUACCGGAGAUCAGUAUCAUAGGCAAAAGAGAUAGAUCAAAUAAAUUCUUUGUUUACUUCAGAUCCACUGGUGCCUAGCCUUGUAUCGGUCCUGUUUUGCCAUGUGUCUAGUUAAGGGAUAGGCUGGUUUACUGACUUAGUUGACAGAGAAUAGGAUUCAGUGCUUGUGUUAAGCAAUGAGGAAAAGAUAUAAUAGUGUGGCUCUGAUCCCUACUUGUCCCCUACUGAAUUCCAUCUGUUCUUAUUAAGGAUUUAGUUGAGAAAGAUAGAAGCUCCACAGGGUCGGGGUUAACUCAAAGGUAAGAGCCAAGCGUAUACUAUACUAGUAAAGGAGUCCGGAGUCAAAGGUGUGGAGGUCGGGUCGGAGAUACUUGCUAUGUGCUCGGGAGCUUGAGUUAGAUUAGCCUCAUGAAGUUAUUAGUUGACAGAGCCAGAGAGAGAUAUCCGGAGUUGCUAUAAGUCUAGGCCUAACUAGUAGUAGGCUUUCAGCACCUUGUUGAGUUUAGUAGUUGCCAGCAGUAAGUGGGAAGUCUCAAAGAUCUGAGUAAGGAUCCGGUGAAGCGGGAAGGAAAUCGAGAAAGAAAUCAAGUCACUAAUGAGUGAAAAGAGCCAGAGGUAUCAGAGCCCUAGGUAAGAGGUCACAGAGAAGGUAGUCAAGAGACCUGUUCCAGCCCUGUUAAUGGUGAGAGUGGAACAGUAGUUAGAAAGUCUUAGUUCCCCCUGGUUGCUUCUUUUAUUCCCUCGUUUGAUAUGCCCUUAUUGUAAGUUGAGGCAAGGUAUACAAUUGGUAUUGAAUUGAAGUAAACUAGUGGGCUAUAAGAAGACCGGGUUUCCUCUGUGUUUGCUGGGUCUGCAAGGAAGCAUAAAAUAGUCUCUUGAGCACCGGAGUUAGCCACUGGUAGAUCAGCAGAAUCAUAAGUGGAAAGAGCAGAUACGGGAACUGAUGCAAUCUCUAUAUGAUAUGUGCUAGAUCUAUCCCUAUAACUAUUCUUAUUGAAACAAAUAGAUGAAACAAUAGAUUGAACUCGGGAUGAAACACGAGCAAGAGCAUCUCUUUCUGUUCGCCUAGUACGAAUGGAAUCCCCAGCAAGUAGUGGCCCAUUUGAAUCUUUAGGUGUUGGCUAAAGUCCAGGUCUAGGUAAGGAUGCUACCAGUGCAACUACUACCGGGAUGAAGACUUACUUGCCUUAUACCAGAUGCGGAAGUAUACCACAACACUUCUUUAUUAACCCCGGGCAGCCUACCUUACUUUAGCUACUGAGUCUGGUGCUUCAACUUAGAGAAAGAAGCCUUUCAGAAGCCUACCCGACCCCUAGUUAAGGAAUGAAACAACUACCCUCGCCUCAAAGCUAAGCAAUAAGUACUGAAGUGCGGAAUUGAACUAGUCCGUAGAAGCCUUAAAGCACCAACUAGUAGGUCAGGGUAUCGAUUCUCCUCUAGGGCGAACACUGGACUUGAAAGAAGGGCCCUUACUAUUAAUUUCUCCCCAACCAGUAGAGUAGUAAAAAGUACAGAGCCAUAACUGGGACUAGUAGAUGUAUCGGAGUAGCGGUAAGUCAACUCCAUUCUUAAAGGAAAGAAAGUCGAAUUCGGAUAGUCCACGGAGGGAGCCGGUGAGGAAGAGAGAGUGAGCGGAACUUGAAGUACCAGAUCUUGCUGCUGAAUCUUAUUGGUAAUUAUACGUAGCUUGUCCAGUAGUAACUUGGCGAGUGGAAUCCCCUUCAUAUGUAGUUUCAUCCGUAGUAGUAGCCAGAGAAGAUCCGANNNNNNNNNNNNNNNNNNNNNNNNNNNNNNNNNNNNNNNNNNNNNNNNNNNNNNNNNNNNNNNNNNNNNNNNNNNNNNNNNNNNNNNNNNNNNNNNNNNNNNNNNNNNNNNNNNNNNNNNNNNNNNNNNNNNNNNNNNNNNNNNNNNNNNNNNNNNNNNNNNNNNNNNNNNNNNNNNNNNNNNNNNNNNNNNNNNNNNNNNNNNNNNNNNNNNNNNNNNNNNNNNNNNNNNNNNNNNNNNNNNNNNNNNNNNUUUUCCCGUGUUUUUUCAUAGCCAAGGUCAUUUCCCUCCUGGAUCACCCAUUGGGAAUUCGAUUUUUCCGUUUUCCCGUGUUUUUUCAUAGCCAUUAGUACUUGGCUCUGACCUUUGAGUAAACCCAUCCCCUUUGGAGCUUGGCUCUGGUAUUCCUACUUGUGAGCUUGCUGGCUCCACUCUUAAAGGAGUUGGUUCCAUUCUUAUACUGACUAGCUCUAUCCUAUGCCUUACUGGGUUGAUUCCAACUAUUGAGCACCCAGCUACUGGGGUAAAUUCUGUAUACUGCAUCCGAGGGUUAUGGCUUAUACCCAAUAGCUCCCAUUCUGAUUGGCGAACACAGGACUUCCUCAACUUCUAUCUGGUCUGUUCUUGCCUCCAUCUCCUCUCUUCUUACUAGCAGUGGGGUAAGCCUGCCACUACCUGGGUGAAGUCUUGAUGUUAGUGCUCUCAGUCUAGCUACCCUGUGUUUCAGUCUUUAUGUUACUAGUCUAGCUCUGGUUGUUAGUGGUUUAGGUCUGAGUUAGUGUCAUAAGAGUUAAGACUGAUUGUUAGUAGUCUAGUUCUGGUAGUUAGCAGCUUCAGUCUGAGUCGACUUAGCUGAAGUCUUAAGUAGCAGCUAUAGCCUUGCACACCUUAGUUCCAUUUUCUGGUUUACUGGUUGAAGUCUGAGGAGCACCAAUAUCAUUCUAGUUGCUAGUGGGUUGGUUCUUUAACUACCUUAUCUCAGGCUGUCACUCCCUUGUUUGGUUCUGUAACUCCCUUGUUUCGUUCUUAAACACCCAAGAAUCAGGCAGAGUAGACACCGCUUCAGGCUGUAACUACCCGGGUUCAUUCUAUCCCUUAGCAACCCAGCAGCCGAGUUUGAUUAUGGUUAGCACUGGCUUAAGUCUGGUCGGAUCUAGUUGAAGGUUGCCUAGCUCAGGUUGAAGUCUGUAACUCACUGGUUUGGUUCUUUAACUACCUUGGUUCAGUCUUACUAGCUUCCUCACCGGAUCUUGCUCUUUCAACUAAGUCUUAUCCCCUACCUUAGCUACCUGGGUACUGAUUAAAUGCUGGCACUCCUCAGUUAUAUUCUAUAUCUUACUUCUGUAUUCCUAGACUGAGUUCUCCUAGGGCAUCUGGGAAUUGAUACCAACUAUCAGACACCCCACUAAGCCCUUAUUAUAAUCCAACUACCCGAGUCACAGAAGUCAACCACCUUUAACUAGUAAAAGAUAGAAACAAGGCUCCAUUAGUUUGAUAGGCAUGUUUGCUAGGCAAUAGGCACAACUUACUAUAAGGGCCAGAUCCAUCCUUUUUUUAUACAGUAGACUUUCCUGGAGACAACACUGCUUUGCUUCCUAUCUUUAGACUUUCAACCUGCAGACAACACUGCUUCCUCUCUUUCUUGCCAACUUAGUUCCCGAGUCUACUGAGUUUGAUUCUGAAGCAACAUAUCUAGCUGCACUGCUUGAAGGCUUAAGUACCAACUAACAGACAAGGAAUGGGUAGGCAAGUAAGGGAAUAGUAGGCACCACAUAAGUCUUAGGACCAAUACCUAGCAGCAAUAGUACCAAUAAGUAGUACCAAUAAAAUACCCAGCAGCAGUCCUAUGCUCACUGGCAUCAGGCUUGCACUUACCGGUUUCAUUCUCUGUCUCACUUGCUUCAGGCUGUCACUCCCUGGUUGGGUUCUGUAACUACAUAGCUCUAUUCUCUAACUACCCAGCACCAGUCUCAGUGGUAUUGGUUGAAGCUUUAUACCCGGGCCGGAUAGCCUGAUACCAACUAGCUACAUUCCCAAACGACCUGUACCUUCCUUCUAUGCUUAACAACCGCCGCUACUAUGGAAGGGAAGGUAGAAAACAGUGGAUAGAAAGUCUAGGGUUAGAGCUUUAGCUCCUUGUGAUAGAGUGGAAUACCGGUAGUACUAUUCUGGUUUUGUCUACUCAAUUGGGUGGGCGCUUGUAUGCUUGUCUAUCCGUGUCUUGGCCCUUCCUGGACCGAUCCAAUCCAAUCCUAUUAUCUACUGAGAAUUCCUUCACAAUGAUAAAUAGAACACCGGAUAGAUCAUUCAAUGGCAAUGGCGAAGAGUUCUCCUAAGGGCGGGCUGGGUGAGAAAAAGCGUCCUUAGCAAACUACAGCAUCAAAGAAAAAACCGCUUAGCCCUGCUUAGUAAAGUGAGGCGAGGUGGGCUGGCUACGAUUCAAUUGGAAGUAGGGUAACAAGAUUCGUUAAUGCACCAUCUUCCAAAGCGGGAUCCUCUGUUUUUUCCAGAAAAGGUCCCGUCCCAUCCUUCAAUAUCAUGAUUGGGUCGACUUCGUUUAAGUGAAGUUACUGACUUUCAUAAUUUCUGGAAUAUGGAACUUCCCCUUUGUACUUGAACUACAUUAUGGAAUAUGAAGAACCCCUAUACUGGUCCAGACUUCUUAAUGGUUGCAAGAGAAGUUCCAGUCUCGUAUGGAGCGGGUGCGUUAGUGAGAAAGCUUUUUGUACCUUAAGAUCAUCUCUGUCGGUUAAGUCAGCGGGAAGUCAAGGUUCGUAAAGGGAAAGUUCAGUGAAGAGUCGAGCAAGACAGAUCUUUAUUAGUUUAGUUUGAGCGCCAAACAACUACUAAUGUUGCUUGGCCCUUACGAGCGAGGUAUCUUCAUAAACACCCGAUCCAGCAUCAGAUCUUUCAACUCCAAAGUGAGAAUUGAGAGAAAGAGAACGAAGUGUUACCCGCUUGCUUCACAAAGCCUUUCGAUCUAGUGAUUGUUUCCGAUCCGAGCCAUAAGUCUUUGUCCUGUGUUCGGGUGCUGAAAGCCUACUAAAGUCAGCCUUGAACUCCUACCUACUCGGUUAGGAUAGGACUUAACUAAGGAAAGAGACUCAUUAGUACACCUCGCUACGGAAAGAGACUCCGAAACAAGAACAUAUAAUCAAAGUAGUGCUUCAGAAGAAUAAAGUCAAAAGAGGCUAAUCGGUGAAGGCAAGACAACCCGGACUUACUGAGGCGGUAUAGGAACUCCACUCUAGUAUAGGAGUAAUAAAGUACAGGCCGGGAAGAAUGAGCGGGGCAUGAUAGGCAAAUGAAACAACUCCCUUACGUGCCGAGUCAACUCAAAUCUGAAUUGAGAUAGAAACUCCCUUCCCUGCGACCUCUCGUAUUCAAUGAAAUUACUAUUUAUUGCUCUAGUUGUUGCUUGGCGAGCCUUAACCGCUACGUUAUAGAGAGAUUCGAUAGUAGAUUCGGCUUACUUAUACGAUUCCACUUCAACUGGUCAUUCUGCUGACUUACUUUCUGCAACAUCACCGCUUGCUGCUGACGACUUAAUCGCUUCAUUUUUUCUUCAUGGGGCGACACUGCAGAUUCUCCGUGGGCAUUCUCUUUCUACUUAUGGAACUCUCAGUGCUUAGUCCAAUCCUUUAAUUGAUUAUUGACAGAAUCCAGACUUGACUCGCACAAGAGCAAGACCAAGACUUGGGGCCGCUAGAGUUCCCAUUAUUACAAUAGAUGUCUUUGCGGUACGGAAAUGAUAAAGCCGAGUUGAUCCGAGCAGGAGGGCUAUCCUUCAUGACAAAAUGUACAUUUUCACAGCAUUUAGUUGUCUUCAAUGUUUUGCCCUAUGAAGCAACCUUUCACCUAUGUUCAAGGACUCGAUAAGCCUUAUGAAGCGGCUUGCCCAGCGGAGCUACCUGGAAUUCUAUCUGUGUGGAAUUGUACUUUCCCAACACUUAAUGAGUAGUGGCCCUCUUCAGCCCCCAGUGGUGGUCCAAGAGAGUAAGGAGCGGUACCCGAAGUAGGAACAAAAUAAGUUGUUGUUCGAGAAUCCGUAGUGCAAGUAAAGCCGACAAGAGAAUCUACUGUGCCAGGAAAGGAGAAAGUGUUGUUAUAUUUGAAUCGUGAAAGUGAAGAUGAAUCAUCUCUUUUCUUUGCGAACGAAUGUAGAUCCGCAUCAGCAACUGAAUAAGCAGUUCCCGACGAAGAAAGGUAUGCUGUGCUAGGAAAAUAGACAAGAUCAUAAGCUUGAGAAGAAGAUAAUGCCGUAGUAGUGGUGCAAGCUCGAGUAUCAUCUCUUUGGGCACUAAUGUAUAGUUUCAUUAAAGACAAUUUAUUCGUCGGCGAGCGAUAAAGGGUUACCGGAAUCCAUCAUAGGGAGCGGGGAACUCUAAUGAUUCUGUUUCUUCUGAGACUGCUGUUCCAUCUUAUGCUGGAACUCGUAUUGAAUCUAGAACAAUACUGGAAGAAGCCUUAUACACAAGCACUCGAACCGAUAACAAGAGCUGAAGAAAGAUAUUCUGCCCCGACCUAAACUAGAACUGUCCUUUCUUCACCUCCGUAGAGUUCUGAAUAAGUCCUAAUUCGAUGCCUCCAUUCGAUUCUCUUAUUAAAGAAAAAAGGGGUAGGUGCCUCUGCCUCUAUUCUAUAAGCCGUUAGCGCACCUAAACAAUAUGACACUUACGCCGAUACAGAGUCUUUUGGGGCAGCGCCGUCAAGCAGAUAAUCUUGGACUUUUCUAUCUUCUUAACUCAACUGGCAGGACUUGCUCUUAAAGCUACUGUUAUCGAGUUUUCAGCUUCAGCGUUAAGUAUUGCCAGGCCCAGGCCCAACAAAACGCACAAGUGACGGUGUAAAACCAGAUGUUGUGCUAAUGCAUCAGCGUAAGUUCCAGUUUCAUAAUUCAUUGUUAGUUGCGAGAUCGUAUAUCUAUUGCUAAUAUUACACAUAAAGUUCGAAUUAAGGCACAGUUCCUUUGCUUGCUUGUCGAGCUGUACUUGCAAACGAGAUACUCGACUGCUUGCAAUGUGUGGGAGCUGCGAUCCCAUCUUUCUACCUUACACAACACCGGCUAAAGAACCUUGAUACUGCUUAGCGCAACAAUUCAUCAAAUAAGUCUGGGCUGGGCCAGUGUCAACUAAUACUACAGUUAGAUCUGCUCUGGUCUACUUGACUUUCCAACUCUUCUUCCUUUCCUGAUCUACUUGACUUUCCAACUCUUCUUCCUUUCCUGGUCUACUUUACUUUCCAACUCUUCUUCCUUUCGAGCACUAAUGAUAGAACUUUGUAACAACACCACCUGCUUCCCUAUCUUUUGAAUCUCUAUUCUCUUUUGAAUCUGACCUAACAGCCAGCAAGCAUCCCUUUUGUUUGCCAAACUCUUCUUCCUCUCUCUGAUUCUCACACCUAAAUCGAUUAUUCUUUCAAAGAUGUUCACUAUAACAUCUAUUUCUUCCCUAUCACCCGGUUAUACCAAUAGUAAUUAGAGACUCUUCCUUCUAUUGUUGACUUAACUCGAACAAACAGGUAAUUCUUCUGCAAUAACUCGUGUACAACUAGGGUAAAUCACUUCUCUCACUGCUUACUUGCUUUUUUCUUCUUUCCCGACCUAAACUAGAAUUGAAGAACCGACAACAAAGACAUCUGACUUGAGAACUUGAACUGGCCCACAAGGGGUUGAUUCGUCUUCUGCUCCAUCCUCUGCUACUACAUAUCAAUCUCAUUUAAUGUACUCCGCUACAUCUACUGCACCAACAUGAGAAUGGAAUCUUGAUCUAUCUAUUCCAAGGGAAAAGGGGGUAUCUUAUCUUAAGUGUAACAGUCCUCUCCAAAGGGGUAACUCUUUGAUGCUUUCUCGCUUUAUAUCUCCUUUUCUAAGCUCUUGCUUUUGGCGUGUCGAUAACAUCAGAGGUUGGUAACGUCAAUAAUCGCCCUUUACUUAUUAUGGGCUUUUCUUUGGCGCUAAAGGAAGCGGUGCGGUAAGUGAUGAUUCAGUAUCAAAGGCUCUAGAAGCCCUCAGCCCACGUAACUAGAAAAUGAAGUUAUCGUUCUGCAAAAUAGAGGAUAAAGCAAUAAAGUGUAAGGAAAGAGGGUGUUUGUUGGGUAGAGAGUCUAAUGGUAAUCAUAAUAACUUAGAUGCUUGCUCUAUAGGAUGAAAUCAAGUAUUUAUUGACGGGGAAGAUCCACUGUUUUGACUGCACUAACGGAAUUGCCAAUUUGAGAAUGAUUGUUGGACUGACUGGUUUCCUUGACUCGACGAUAAAGGAGUGACUGCCUCGGUGUGUAAAGGAGAUGUUGGAUUGGCGCUCAAAAGUCGAAUUCUUUCUUUGGAGACACUAGAUGUAGAAUUUGUGUAACACCUAUUCCGCUUACUCAGUGUGAAUUGAAGAAGAUGGGUUCCUGGGUGCCUGUUCGAUUCUUGUAAGCAGUAAAGCAAAGAUACAAGUCGGUGGUUACAUAAUAAAAAGCUGCAAAGGAUGUAUAGGAGCCGGGGAGAAUUUGUAAGAACGAAAAGCACGAGUACGACUUAAGCAAGGAGUUUUGGACUGCUAUACAGGAGCGUGAGUACAGUAGCUAAGCCCCAAAGCGAGUAGAUAAAGAACGAGGUGUAACAGCCGCAGGCCUAGAGCGGGUAGUCAAAGAAUUGAGGCUAUUAGGUUGAGAUAAAGCAAAGGCUCUUAGGACAUCAAUAUCCGUUUAAGAGGGCAGACCUAUAGUUAAGAGUAAGUGUGUUUAGGUGCCUAACGACUAUAGAAUGGAUUUCUGACUUGAGAGUUGUUGCCUUUGGAUUACUAGUCGAUUCUUCUACUGUUUUAUCUCAUCCUCUCCAACUAGAUGGGUGUGUUACCGAGACUUUCACUAGAAAAAGGGAAUAGAACCCGGGCUACCAAUACGGAAACUAGAAGCUGGGAAUUACAAUGUUACUGGAAACAAUCAAGCUAGUGCUUAUUAGACCUGGACUAGUGCUUCUAAUGUGAGAACUCGACAGACAACGAUAGAAUAUACUAUCUAGGAAAGGAAUCCAACUCAAAAGUCAGAGAACGAAACAGGAAAGACAAAGGUGACCAUAGGACUGAAACAAGCAAACGGUAACCAAGCUACUGUUUAUUCUUCUGGAGUUUGGGAUCUAGGCUUACUUCCUUCACCAUGGGUCUGCUACUACUGCCUAUUGGCCUGUAUAACUAUACCCACACUCUAAGUCCACCGCUACGAGCUUUCAUUCCGUAUCUACUGUAUUAUUAUGAUUCUUCUUAUGGUUUCACCAGUCACUGUCCCUAUACGAGCUUUCAUUCCGUAUCUACUGUAUUCUUCUUCUUCUUCUUAUGGUUUCUACCAGUCACUGUCCCUAUACGAGCUUUCAUUCUGAUAUCUCUGUAAUUCAAUAUCUAUGUUUUAGCAUACCUCUCCUACUACCUAUGUAUUGAUACUCACUAUGUUACUAUUGAGAAAAGCAAUAUAGUGGAUGAGCACGGGCAGACUGGAUGAAAUAUAAGAAUCCCAGAACAAGGGUGGAACUCUGACCCUGGAUAGAGGAAUCAAAGAGCAAACACAGAAUGAACUAUAGAACCAGUAAACUAAACGGAAAGUCGAGGAGUAAGGAAUAGAAGAAAGAAAACCCGGGGCACAAAGGAAUAAUAUCAUAUCCGAGCUCAGAGCCUUAUACUAAUUACCUAACAUCUGUACGAGUAGAUUCAGUAUGACCUCCUUGCUUUCGUACUGAGACUAAUGAUCUCAAUUACCUUUCUUCCGGUUCAAGCUUAUACACUAUCUAAUAGAAUGGAAUAAGAAACUGGGAAUCGAACCGGGGAACAAAGUUAUGAACCAAGAGGCCAUGGAAUAGAACCAAUGAGAACUGGAAUCCUACUUAUAAGCAAUAAUGAAAAACAUAGCUAGGAGCAACUAGGGAGCCCUCGUACACAGAACCCUAAUAGCACUGAGUGGUCUAAGCCCUGUACUAAUCAACCCUAAUAGCACUGAGUGGUCUAAGCCCUGUACUAAUCAAGACUGAACAACAGCUUAAAGCACUCCGCUGAAGAUAAGAGGAGUGGAAUUCCAUACAGGCACCUGAGUUAGGGCCAAGUAACAUAGUAAGUGUAGCGGCAGUGUUGUUUCACGGGUUUUGGCGAGUUCCUGUGUUGGCGAGACCAGAGAGAGAGGUGAUUGUUUUAGAGUAUCUUUCAGUUCUUGUCUCGGGUCGGGGUUCACACUUAUGAGAGGUCGGGUCAGGGCAAACAAUAAGAAUAGCAUGGGAUGAAGAAAAUGGGAAGAAAUGAAAAGAAAUGAGAAAUAUUCAAUAAACCAGGUCGUCGUUGUUUGGCCCGUUGCUUGGCCUUUGACUACUGAUCCGGAUCCUUACUUACUUGCCAAAGAACUCAGCUAACUACUACUAGAUUGUAACUACUAACAUCUAGAUUGUAACUACUAACAUAGGACCUUUUAACUACUAACUAGCAGAUCGAACACUCAACUAACGACUUGAACUGGGAACUCAGGCUUUACCCAUUUGUUUUAAUGAAAAAACGGCUCACUUGUAUCCGUGCUUCUUAGCUUCAAACUUCAACUAAGCCCUCUCAUUCCUUGAAUACGCUCUCGAUUACUGUUACUAUGACCUGCAAUGCCUAUGCUUGAGGCGAACUCUGUUACUAAAUAAGAAAAUGAUAUAUGAGCCCUACCUUGUCUCUAAAGUCAGGAUACCGAACUAAGUUACUAUAUACUAAUAUACUAAUGUAAGAAGAAAACACUGAACUAUAGAAUUGAGCUAUGUAGCUAAGGUCUAGUACCAAUGCCACUGAGAAUGCAGCUAAGGAGGUUAACUCGCUACCGCUUUUCAGCUCGCUGACGCGACAGCGAACACCAAACAAAGCACUUUUUCAUAAGAAUAGUGAAUACGGGGUUACACGAUCUAGUUUCAUAGUGAAUACGGGGUUACACGAUCUAGUUUCAUAGAGGGGCAGAACCACAAAAGAAAAAGAAGGCUAAAUGGAAUCUUAUAGAAUAUACAAGAUGCAAAACCAAGCAAAAAAGCACUCGAAAAUGCUACUCGCUUUUCCAAUAUGUAGUUUACCAGCCUAGAUAAGUUUGACAUCAGAAGUACCAUGACCAACGUGGACUCUUUAGACACCUUCCGAACUAGGGAUCCAAACAAAAGAAGGUAUAUCUUGGUUACUCUCGGUAGAGCGUAUUCUACUCUAUAGAGAGCCGCCUUGGACAUAGAAGAAUUCGCUUAAAGGUUUAGUAAAGCUAUUGUUUGCCAGUCCAUUAUUGUGGCCAAAGAUCAUAAUAGGGUGGAGGGGGACAUCAUUUUCAUUGUGCAGUUUUUAAUCCGGAAGGGAUUCCUACAGCUUAUGCUAUAAGGUUGAUAAUAAAUGCUUUCCCUGAGUUCGAGGGGGCUCAAAUGAGUAUCACCUUUCAUAAGGCAUGGGUCACAGCAUGUAAGUAUGUGCUCAAAUAGGACAAGGAGCCAUACAAUUAUGGAAAGCAUGACCCCAAACCCAUUAGUUUAAGAGAUUCUUAGUGCACAGAAACAGCAUAGGAAGAACCUAGAUAAAUGCGAGGAACUCAUUCCAAGGUGGAAAAGCAUAGAUGAGUGAGCUAUAUGAUGAUCCAAUAUUAAGGAAUCGCAUUUUCUCCACCUAUAACUCUAUAAAAGCAGUUUCUGAAGAUCUACUGGUCAUAAAAGACAGAGAGAGCAAUCUCAAGAGCAGAAUGGAAGAUUUGAUUCAUAAUAAUAAGUGGCCGAACUCGUAUACCAUUGAGGAAAUCCAAGAGAAAUAGAAACUACUAGACUAGAUAGCAUGUCCAAAUAUCUACUACUAGACUAGAUAGCAUGUAAUCUAAUCAUCUUUCUAAGACCCAUAAAUACUAUCAGGGGCCCUCUUUCAGGAACGAUUUCUGAGAUUUACGUUCAAAACCCCAACCAAGAUAAGAAAUCUAACCGAGGAAAGGAUUGUAGCAACCUUUUAUGGGUGUAUUCCAAGAAGACUCCGGCAGAAAUGGGUCACAUAGCAAGAAGCAAAGGUGCUGAAAGCCUUUGAAGUACAAUGAAGAAUUUGCUACCAUCUCCAAAUACCAAGCUCCACCUUCAAACUAAGAUAACCUAAUCAAACCAUUUGGGAGCAAGAGCCGGGAAGAAUAACAAGAAUGGAUAUACUCUAUAAAGGAUGCUACGCUAAGGGGAUAGAGGAAUAAUGACCACGGAAUUAGGAAGUAAGCUAAAGAUUGUUGUUGCACAAAAAGAGGAAGAACAAAAAGCUCUCAUAAACCUAGAGGAUAUCUACUUUGUUGCACAAGCAAAUCUAGAGCAAAUAAGUAAUGGACAGAAAUGACAAGAGGAGCGAAAGGGAAAAG
This 44412-nucleotide long non-coding RNA is filed under the name Musa acuminata (dwarf banana). RNAcentral's name for it is "long non-coding RNA (MACU_LNC007462)". Lineage: Eukaryota; Viridiplantae; Streptophyta; Magnoliopsida; Zingiberales; Musaceae. The record is from RNAcentral.